ACCGGGGCCUUGGGGAGUAGACGCUGCCAUCUUUUCCUGGGGGUCUGUGUCUCAAUCAAAGGGUCUCCUUGGAGACAGAAACCCCAAGAAGCCAGAGAGACUGGAGCCGCUGGAGGCUGUGGUUCCUGGGAGCUCAAGUGCAGCCCAGUGGUGAAAUUCAUCUAGCGCUGUAAGCUUACCCUAAAAAAAGUUAACUGUGACCCCAGGAUCUCUAUGGUGGAUCAGUGUCUUUGGACACCAGGCAGGCCCUCCUUCAGGGUUGUACGUGGAGAAGGGGACCAAGAGGAGGAGGCAUCCUGGACGUCACCAGGUGCCCCAUCCGCGGCGAGGGAAACCUGGACCCGACUCUGUGUCAUUCAGAACACAUCGGGGACUCCGGUGCCCACGUCCCUGCCCGCUGCAUGCUUGGAAAGCACUGCCUCUGCCGGAAGCCGAGGCGAGAAGGUCCUCAAAGCAGACACCGGACCCCCGAGUAGCUCCGGUCUCCACGGGCCACCCCGGGUGCUGUGGGGCGAGGCCCACCCGCGCGCCGUACCGCGCAUGCGUCAGUCGGCUGAGCAGGAGGCCGCCCGCGCAGCCUCGCUCCCGCCCGGUCGCCGUGGCAACGGGCUCGCGGGGGG
RNAcentral lists this long non-coding RNA (620 nucleotides) under Mus pahari (shrew mouse). Its description in RNAcentral is "lncRNA (MGP_PahariEiJ_G0005430.1)". The record is from RNAcentral. Lineage: Eukaryota; Metazoa; Chordata; Mammalia; Rodentia; Muridae.